This 69-nucleotide antisense RNA is filed under the name Herbihabitans rhizosphaerae. RNAcentral's name for it is "ASpks TB sRNA". It matches the Rfam family "ASpks TB sRNA". The record is from Rfam by way of RNAcentral. Lineage: Bacteria; Bacillati; Actinomycetota; Actinomycetes; Pseudonocardiales; Pseudonocardiaceae.
CUUCACCGAGCCGAGUCGCAACGGCUCCUCGCGGUUCUGCCCGUAGGUGGCGAGGAUCGCCUGCGCCUC